RNAcentral lists this ribosomal RNA (497 nucleotides) under uncultured bacterium. RNAcentral's name for it is "partial 16S ribosomal RNA". It matches the Rfam family "Bacterial small subunit ribosomal RNA", at positions 28 to 507 of the family's 1533-position model. The record is from RNAcentral.
GAUGAACGCUGGCGGCGUGCCUAAUACAUGCCAGUCGAGCGAACAGACGAGGAGCUUGCUCCUUUGACGUUAGCGGCGGGCGGGUGAGUAACACGUGGAUAACCUACCUAUAAGACUGGGAUAACUUCGGGAAACCGGAGCUAAUACCGGAUAACAUGUUGAACCGCAUGGUUCAACAGUGAAAGACGGUCUUGCUGUCACUUAUAGAUGGAUCCGCGCCGCAUUAGCUAGUUGGUAAGGUAACGGCUUACCAAGGCAACGAUGCGUAGCCGACCUGAGAGGGUGAUCGGCCACACUGGAACUGAGACACGGUCCAGACUCCUACGGGAGGCAGCAGUAGGGAAUCUUCCGCAAUGGGCGAAAGCCUGACGGAGCAACGCCGCGUGAGUGAAGAAGGUCUUCGGAUCGUAAAACUCUGUUAUUAGGGAAGAACAAAUGUGUAAGUAACUAUGCACGUCUUGACGGUACCUAAUCAGAAAGCCACGGCUAACUACGUG